UCAGGACGAACGCUGGCGGCGUGCCUAAUACAUGCAAGUCGAACGGUCUUUCUAUGGAAGCUUGCUUCCACUGAGAAGAUAGUGGCGAACGGGUGAGUAACACGUGGGUAACCUGCCCAUAAGAGGGGGGAUAACAUCCGGAAACGGGUGCUAAUACCGCAUAGUUUUCUUGAUCGCAUGAUCGGGAAAGGAAAGACGGCCUUUGUGCUGUCGCUUAUGGAUGGACCCGCGGCGUAUUAGUUAGUUGGUGAGGUAACGGCUCACCAAGACGAUGAUACGUAGCCGACCUGAGAGGGUGAUCGGCCACAUUGGGACUGAGACACGGCCCAAACUCCUACGGGAGGCAGCAGUAGGGAAUCUUCCGCAAUGGACGAAAGUCUGACGGAGCAACGCCGCGUGAGUGAAAGAAGGUUUUCGGGUCGUAAAACUCUGUUGUCAGAGAAGAACAAGUUGGAGAGUAACUGCUCCAGCCUUGACGGUAUCUGACCAGAAAGCCACGGCUAACUACGUGCCAGCAGCGGC
This 522-nucleotide ribosomal RNA is filed under the name uncultured bacterium. RNAcentral's name for it is "bacterial SSU rRNA". It matches the Rfam family "Bacterial small subunit ribosomal RNA", at positions 24 to 518 of the family's 1533-position model. The record is from RNAcentral.